This 454-nucleotide ribosomal RNA is filed under the name uncultured bacterium. RNAcentral describes it as "bacterial SSU rRNA". It matches the Rfam family "Bacterial small subunit ribosomal RNA", at positions 340 to 786 of the family's 1533-position model. The record is from RNAcentral.
UACGGAAGGCAGCAGUGGGGAAUAUUGCACAAUGGGCGAAAGCCUGAUGCAGCUAUGCCGCGUGUAUGAAGAAGGCCUUAGGGUUGUAAAGUACUUUCAUCGGGGAGGAAAAACAAAACUAAUAAUUUUAUUUCUUGACGUUACCCGAAAAAGAAGCACCGGCUAACUCCGUGCCAGCAGCCGCGGUAAUACGGAGGGUGCUAGCGUUAAUCAGAAUUACUGGGCGUAAAGAGCACGUAGGUGGUUUUUUUAAGUCAGAUGUGAAAUCCCUGGGCUUAACCUGGAACUGCAUUUUGAAACUGAAAUACUAGAGUAUCGUAGAGGGAGGUAGAAUUCUAGGCGUAGCGGUGAAAUGCGUAGAUAUCUGGAGGAAUACCUGUGGCGAAAGCGGCCUCCUAAACGAAUACUGACACUGAGGUGCGAAAGCGUGGGGAGCAAACAGGGAUUAGAUACC